UCACGCGAAAAUACCACGUUGAAAGCACUGGUUCUCGUCCGACCACCGCAGUUAAGCAAAGUUGGGGCCAGUCAGUACUUGCAUAAGCUCUACCUAGAGCCCUUCUUGGGCUACUGCCGGUU
Molecule: non-coding RNA, 122 nt
Organism: Schistosoma haematobium
Lineage: Eukaryota; Metazoa; Platyhelminthes; Trematoda; Strigeidida; Schistosomatidae
Source: Rfam